AUAUAGAGGUUUGACAUAUUAGAGAUAGCGCAUCAGGCAUCCUGUUUAUGUUUGUAAUGUGGGAACUCUUAAUUCAAUUGCGAUUUGUCAAAACAACAAAUUCAAUCGACGGGAUCCACGUUUAUUAACAUCUUCUAAUGCAACAGAAUGUAAAAUCUAGGCAAAAUGUGAUGGGGCGUGACAGAGUCUCAGGUUUUGUUGCUAUAAAAGUGUUAACGAAACAGAGGAGGAGAUAAGAGCAGCUGUUGCCGUGAAGAAAACCUCAUUCUUCUGAGAAUCUCUGAGCUUUUAUGGAAACACAGCAUUCAGCCAUGAAGUUUCAAAUCCUGGUUUUUCUCCUGCUGCUGACUUGCAUGUAUCCCAGUGUGGCACAAGGUUCCUAUGAAAACUGCUGUUUGAAUUAUGCAAAAGUAAAGAAGAGCAUCAGGAGACAUGUCGUGAGUUACAGAAUGCAGGA
Sinocyclocheilus anshuiensis is the source of this 457-nucleotide long non-coding RNA. RefSeq lists it as uncharacterized. Lineage: Eukaryota; Metazoa; Chordata; Actinopteri; Cypriniformes; Cyprinidae. The transcript is spliced from 3 exons. The record is from RefSeq and is a predicted model, not a curated record.